GUAAUACUCCUUCCGUUCCAAAUUAGUUGACUUGAAUUUGUCUAAAUACGGAUGUAUCUAUACUUGUUUAGUGUCUAGAUAAAUAUGAGUCAAGUAAUUUGGAACGGAGGGAGUAGUUA
Non-coding RNA from Triticum aestivum (bread wheat), 119 nucleotides. The record is from Rfam. NCBI's taxonomy places the organism in Eukaryota, Viridiplantae, Streptophyta, Magnoliopsida, Poales, Poaceae.